This is a long non-coding RNA of Biomphalaria glabrata, 2860 nucleotides long. RefSeq lists it as uncharacterized. The record is from RefSeq and is a predicted model, not a curated record. NCBI's taxonomy places the organism in Eukaryota, Metazoa, Mollusca, Gastropoda, Planorbidae. The transcript has 4 exons.
UGUAGAUAUAGUCAAUAUAGAUUCUAGAUAUUUAGAAUGUAGACUGUAAAGUUUCUUAUUAAUUUUAAUACUAGAAUUGUCAUUAGAGUAUUAGAGUUUGUUUAGUAUAGUCUAGUCAGUCUAGAAUAGAAUGUCUAGAUUACUCUAGUCCUAGUACCUAGUUAUAGACUUGAUCUAUAGAUUAAAUCUAGAUCUAUAUAGACUAGAUCAAGAAGUAGAAUAGUUUAAGAGGUAAGAAAAUCUGCUAGAUCUAAAUAACUAGACCUAUAAUAUAGUCUAGAUCAUUAAUUAGAAUAUUACUAGAUCUAGAUCUAUUAACUAGUCUAGAAAAGUCUAGAUCUAUUAUCUAGUCUAGAAUAGUCUAGAUCUAACUAGAAGCUUAAUCACUCAAGUCUCAGAGUCUUUAAAAAAAGUUUAUAAGACUAGACAGAGAGUCUAGAAUACAAUUCAAUAUUGAUUGUAGUAAUAUCCAGAUUUAGAGUGUAGACUAAACUCUAGAUCAGUGAUUCCCAAAGUGGUCUAUAUAGACCCCCAGGGGUCUACGAAGACUUCCAGGGGGUCUACGAAAUUAAAAAAAUAAAUUGGGGGUCUAUGAGAGGUCCACGGGGGUCUACGAUAAUAGAUUUCAUUUAAAGCAGAUCAUUUUAAUUUUUACAUUCAUUUAAUGUAAUUAUUUUAUACAGUAAUAUAUGAUUUUUAUCUUGGUAAAUCAUUUAAACAUAUAUCCUGCUAAUCAAACCAAAGAAUUGUCUCAAUACUUAUUUAAAAAUUUUAAUUUUGUCUACAUGUAACAAAUGUUUAACAAAAAGAAAUGUACACUGUCCAGCGUUGAUUAUUUAAAACUGAGAUUCAUUCCUUCCUUGUCAAACAAGCGGUUGCCUAAGUGACUUUUUUAAAAUAAUGAUACCAAAGCAAUGGCUAGAGGAUCAUCUGAGACAAUGUCACCCUGACAAAAUAGAUAAAGAUUUAAAAAUUUUCUAGCACUCAAAGAUAAAGUUAAGAAUAGACCCACACAAUCUCACUUCAACAUCAUAUAUAUAUAGAGAAGAUGUUGGUUUGUGAGCGUCUUCCAAUAUCUCUUUACUUAUAGCAAAAUACGGAAACAUAGGUAAAACAUUAAUUUUACCAGCCGUUGUAGUUGUGAAAACUGUUUUACACACACCUACAUCUGAUAUUAUUAAAAGAAUUUCUUUAAGCAAAAAUACAAAUCAAGGGCACAUCGGUGGCAUGAGUUAUCAAAUUAAAAGCUUCUUAUGUGAUUCUUUGCAAAGGAAAUAUAUACAGUUUGGGAUCAGUUUGGAACCAGUGGCAUCACAGGCUCUGAUGGGGUGUAGCGAUGUGUGCUGUAAACUAACCCAGACUUUUUAAAAAAAAUGAUACCAAACCAAUAGCUAGAGGAUCAUCAUCAGUCUGUUGAAUUGGUGUUAAUUACAUUAAGGGACUUAAUCACUCUUUUUUUAUUUCCAGAAAAUAAUACCAGGGUUAUGCUCCUUUCACCGUUGAGUUCCAGGAUGAAGAAUGAAAGACAGAGAGCAAUGUGAAGACAUCAAAGAAUGUGCAGGUCUUCCAUGCAAUGGUUUAUCCAGGGCUAAGUACAGAGAGGAAUAUAGAAGGGCUGUUGACUGAUCUUGUGUGGUGCCCCCAUGGCUCAACAGACUGAUUGAUAGAAAAUAAUACCAGGGUUAUGUUCCUUUCACUGUUGAGUUCCAGGAUGAAGAAUGAAAGACAGAGAGCAAUGUGAAGACAUCAAAGAAUGUGCAGGUCUGCCAUGAAAUGGUUUAUCCAGGGCUAAGUACAGAGAGGAAUAUAGAAGGGCUGUUGACAGAUCUUGUGUGGUGCCCCCAUGGUUCAACAGACUGAUUGAUAGAAAAUAAUACCAGGGUAAUGGUCCUUUCACUGUUGAGUUCCAGGAUGAAGAAUGAGAAAGACAGAGAGCAAUGUGAAGACAUCAAAGAAUGUGCAGGUCUGCCAUGAAAUGGUUUAUCCAGGGCUAAGUACAGAGAGGAAUAUAGAAGGGCUGUUGACAGAUCUUGUGUGGUGCCCCCAUGGUUCAACAGACUGAUUGAUAGAAAAUAAUACCAGGGUUAUGGUCCUUUCACUGUUGAGUUUCAGGAUGAAGAAUGAAAGACAGAGCAAUGUGAAGACAUCAAAGAAUGUGCAGGUCUGCCAUGAAAUGGUUUAUCCAGGGCUAAGUACAGAGAGGAAUAUAGAAGGGCUGUUGACAGAUCUUGUGUGGUGCCCCCAUGGGUCAACAGACUGAUUGAUAGGUAAUGGUAAGAAUUUAAUGUAUUUUGUAAAAAAAUUAUAAAAAUUGGUGUUAAUUACAUGAAGGGAUUUAAUCACUCUUUUUUUAUUUCCAGAAAAUAAUACCAGGGUUAUGGUCCUUUCACCAUUAAGUUCCAGGAUGAAGAUUGAAAGACAGAGAGCAAUGUGAAGACAUCAAAGAAUGUGCAGGUCUGCCAUGAAAUGGUUUAUCCAGGGCUAAGUACAGAGAGGAAUAUAGAAGGGCUGUUGACAGAUCUUGUGUGGUGCCCCCAUGGUUCAACAGACUGAUUGAUAGGUAAUGGUAAGAAUUUAAUGUAUUUUGUAAAAAAAUUAUAAAAAUUGGUGUUAAUUACAUGAAGGGAUUUAAUCACUCUUUUUUUAUUUCCAGAAAAUAAUACCAGGGUUAUGGUCCUUUCACCAUUAAGUUCCAGGAUGAAGAAUGAAAGACAGAGAGCAAUGUGAAGACAUCAAAGAAUGUGCAGGUCUGCCAUGAAAUGGUUUAUCCAGGGCUAAGUACAGAGAGGAAUAUAGAAGGGCUGUUGACAGAUCUUGUGUGGUGCCCCCAUGGUUCAACAGACUGAUUGAUAGGUAAUGG